Long non-coding RNA from Rana temporaria (common frog), 1583 nucleotides. RefSeq lists it as uncharacterized. Lineage: Eukaryota; Metazoa; Chordata; Amphibia; Anura; Ranidae. The transcript has 4 exons. The record is from RefSeq and is a predicted model, not a curated record.
UGAGGUCCUCUUCUAAUAUAUACCAGAAUAUGCUGGUCCUGGAUUCAAAACGAUGCCAUUGGCGAGGGCCAGCAACUAGUGGGGGACCAGUCAUCACAACCAGAACCAAUGGGGAUGAAGACCACAGGAGCCUGGAUUAAGUGUGCACCAAGUUUCGCUUCCCAUUUUCCUAGAAAAGGCGAUACCAUUGGCUCCGCCUUUAGGUAGUUUGGAACUCUAAAAAGCAAUUGAUUUGAGGAAGAAACGGUGUAUGGACAUGAUGCAAGGUGUACUUACAUAUGGAACAAAGUUUAACUGCCAGCAGGGGGAGAACUAUACAGAAGAGCCUAUGGACUUCACAGAGCACUGGAGGUCAUGGGAUUGUGAAUUUCGGGAUAUGAAUCAUACAAUAGACUUUAUGGAUGCACAUACUACACUUCCCAUGGGACCCUGAGGAGGAAGAGGAGGAGAGAUAUGACUUUUAAGAAACCGAAUGGAAAGGUUCACUCUCUUGGCACCAGAGGACUCGAGGUGAGCACAACAUCAGCAGGCCGUGGCAGCAGGGACUGGAGUCCGAGACUGGGCGAUUCCGGCAGCUGAGAGAGGACCAGCAGGCAUCCGCAGUGAUCACAUCACACCCUGCUUGCAGAGAAACUGGAGCAAUUUUACAUAUUCACUCCCCCACACCCCCAAAUGCUGGAGCCACCAGUGUGAAGCUAUAAAGGGGCCCUUUUCUGCAGAAAGAACUCUGAAGUCAUGUUGCAAGGAUCUAUGAGAGGGAAGAUCACCUACCUUUUGAAUACUGUAAAGCUAAUUAUGAGUUGCUGAGAGCAGGACAAUAAUCCAUCUAGUGUCCAUACUGAAACACUACCGCAUAAAGACUGAAUCAACACUACAACCACUUCACACGCUCAUAUUGUGCCAACACUGCACAUAGACUGCAUCUAUACUGUAUGCUGGACCAUCAGGAUUGUUAAUAAGUGGACCAACGCUUAUUAGGGGCCCCAACUAUAGCCUGCAGGAGAACACCACAAAGAAAUGCCCCAUAUUAAGAAACUCUAUCAAAGCCCUUCCUCACCCCUACCUUUCAUCCAUCUACGGGUACCUCUUCAAAAUAGGCCUAGCAUAGCCUCCCUUAAAGCAUUUUGGCAGUAUAGUCUCCCAAGUUCAGUAAAUCUUUCCUCUUUACUGCCUUUAGCACUCAAGGCGACUUGCUAUAGUUCAUGCUGCUCCUUGCACUUAGUUCUGCUUUACAUCUUCAUCUGAUUACUGUUUCUAACAUAUUUUGGUUUGUUUCUUAUUAUCAUUAUACACGAUUUAUAUAGCACCAACAGUUUACGUGGCGCUUUACAAUGUAGACGGGCAUGGACCCCUACAUCCACCAGGUGGAUAUGGAGGUCAGAAAAUAUAUCCAUCGACCACCAUUGCCGAUCAUGUGAAACUUCCGUAUAUAAAUUUCAGUAAUUUAAGACGAAGUGUCUCCGACCUUGUAAACUUUUAAUCUAGUAUGUUUGAGGUACUUGUGAGGUCGAGACAAAAAGCAGAGAACUCUCCCCAUCCUGCGGCUUCUGCUGGGGUAGGGCUACAUAUGUAAGCUACAAGUC